CGGGGCGUAGCUCAGCCUGGUAGAGUACUACGUUCGGGACGUAGGAGUCGCAUGUUCGAAUCAUGUCGCCCCGACCA
RNAcentral lists this transfer RNA (77 nucleotides) under Alcaligenaceae bacterium. RNAcentral describes it as "tRNA-Pro". It matches the Rfam family "tRNA". Rfam says of the family: Transfer RNA (tRNA) molecules are approximately 80 nucleotides in length. The record is from RNAcentral. Lineage: Bacteria; Pseudomonadati; Pseudomonadota; Betaproteobacteria; Burkholderiales; Alcaligenaceae. RNAcentral also lists the same sequence under 1 other name.